UCGGACGUGGUGUACGGCACACAGUCGGCUUGCUUUGACGAUAUCGCUAUACUUAGUCGCUGGCAGUCCGGGGUUCGACUCCCCGCGUCCGAA
This is a non-coding RNA of Mycena olivaceomarginata, 93 nucleotides long. The record is from the annotation of a GenBank genome assembly. Lineage: Eukaryota; Fungi; Basidiomycota; Agaricomycetes; Agaricales; Mycenaceae.